Molecule: ribosomal RNA, 253 nt
Filed under: uncultured bacterium
Lineage: Bacteria
Description: partial 16S ribosomal RNA
Rfam family: Bacterial small subunit ribosomal RNA
Source: RNAcentral
UACGUAGGGUGCAAGCGUUGUCCGGAAUUAUUGGGCGUAAAGAGCUCGUAGGCGGUUUGUCGCGUCUGCUGUGAAAACUCGGGGCUCAACUCCGAGCUUGCAGUGGAUACGGGCAGACUAGAGUGCGGUAGGGGAGACUGGAAUUCCUGGUGUAGCGGUGGAAUGCGCAGAUAUCAGGAGGAACACCGGUGGCGAAGGCGGGUCUCUGGGCCGUAACUGACGCUGAGGAGCGAAAGCAUGGGGAGCGAACAGG